RNAcentral lists this ribosomal RNA (460 nucleotides) under uncultured bacterium. RNAcentral describes it as "partial 16S ribosomal RNA". It matches the Rfam family "Bacterial small subunit ribosomal RNA", at positions 338 to 795 of the family's 1533-position model. The record is from RNAcentral.
CCUACGGGAUGCAGCAGUGAGGAAUAUUGGUCAAUGGGCGGGAGCCUGAACCAGCCAAGUCGCGUGCGGGAAGACGGUCCUAUGGAUUGUAAACCUCUUUAGGCGGGGAGCAAUGCCGGGCACGCGUGCCCGGAGGGAGAGUACCCGCAGAAUGAGCAUCGGCUAACUCCGGGCCCGCCGCCGCGGUACUACGGAGGAUGCGAGGGUUAUCCGGAUUUAUUGGGUUUAAGGGGGGCGUAGGCGGAUUUUUAAGGCAGCGGUAAAAUGUCCGGGCUCAACCCGGGCCGGCCGUUGAAACGGGGGAUCGUGAGUGGGCGAGAAGUAUGCGGAAUGCGGGGUGUAGCGGUGAAAUGCAUAGAUAUCACGCAGAACUCCGAUUGCGAAGGCAGCAUACCGGCGCCCGACUGACGCUGAGGCACGAAAGCGUGGGGAUCGAACAGGAUUAGAUACCCGAGUAGUC